Molecule: ribosomal RNA, 559 nt
Filed under: uncultured Actinomycetes bacterium
Lineage: Bacteria; Bacillati; Actinomycetota; Actinomycetes
Description: bacterial SSU rRNA
Rfam family: Bacterial small subunit ribosomal RNA
Source: RNAcentral
ACGGGCCGAGGAACACGUGAGAAAUCUGCCUUCAACACUGGGAUAACUCCGGGAAACCGGGGCUAAUACCGGAUAUGAAAUCUGCGGGCAUCCGCGGAUUUGGAAAGUUUUUCGGUUGAAGAUGAUCUCGCGGCCUAUCAGCUUGUUGGUGAGGUAAUGGCUCACCAAGGCGACGACGGGUAGCCGGCCUGAGAGGGCGACCGGCCACACUGGGACUGAGACACGGCCCAGACUCCUACGGGAGGCAGCAGUGGGGAAUAUUGGGCAAUGGAGGAAACUCUGACCCAGCGACGCCGCGUGCGGGAUGAAGGCCUUCGGGUUGUAAACCGCUUUCAGCAGGGAAGAAGCGAAAGUGACGGUACCUGCAGAAGAAGCACCGGCUAACUAUGUGCCAGCAGCCGCGGUAAUACAUAGGGUGCAAGCGUUGUCCGGAAUUAUUGGGCGUAAAGAGCUCGUAGGUGGUUCGUCACGUCUGAUGUGAAACUCUGGGGCUUAACCCCAGACCUGCAUUCGAUACGGGCGAGCUUGAGUCUGGUAGGGGAGUCUGGAAUUCCUGGUG